Long non-coding RNA from Hordeum vulgare subsp. vulgare (domesticated barley), 235 nucleotides. RefSeq lists it as uncharacterized. NCBI's taxonomy places the organism in Eukaryota, Viridiplantae, Streptophyta, Magnoliopsida, Poales, Poaceae. The record is from RefSeq and is a predicted model, not a curated record. The transcript is spliced from 2 exons.
GGACGAGCGAUCAGAGUACAAUGUUUUAUUUGUAGUUUCUUCUCCCGGGUACAAUACGCGAAUCGAAUCGAAGAACAGGUGCAAUGAUGCAUGAGAGCGCGUGAAUCUAUUAUCGCAAAGGUAAAGGGGACUGAAUAGAUCACAAAAAAGACAUUUACUUUUCUUGAAAGAAAAUAAUGAAACUGACAGAGGGGAAGAGAUGAGACUGACAGAGGGGAAGAGAGAAAGAAGAAAA